RNAcentral lists this ribosomal RNA (324 nucleotides) under uncultured eukaryote. RNAcentral describes it as "partial 18S ribosomal RNA". It matches the Rfam family "Eukaryotic small subunit ribosomal RNA", at positions 1470 to 1796 of the family's 1831-position model. The record is from RNAcentral.
CCCUUAGAUGUCCUGGGCUGCACGCGCGCUACACUGAUGUGUCCAGUAAGCACCUAACCUCUUCCGAAAGGAACGGGUAACCUUUGCAAAGCACAUCGUGAUGGGGAUAGAUUAUUGCAAUUAUUAGUCUUGAACGAGGAAUUCCUAGUAAGCACAAGUCAUCAGCUUGUGUUGAUUACGUCCCUGCCCUUUGUACACACCGCCCGUCGCUCCUACCGAUUGAAUGUUCCGGUGAGCUCUUCGGACUGCGCGGUCUGCAGUUUCUGCGUUCCGUGCGGAAAGUUGCGCAAACCUAAACAUUUAGAGGAAGGAGAAGUCGUAACA